GAGAAUUAGCCAACUGAGUCUAAAUAAAAUUUGUAGAUCUUGUUUUUACCUAUGCAUGGAAAAAAAUAACGUCAAAAACGGAGCUCGUAUGAGAAAAUUAUGAAUUUUUAAAAAUCGGUUGAUUUCCACCCUUUGUGCGAUGCCACGUGUCAGCACUAGGCUGUGCCUGGUUGUGUCCAACUGGAUCACGACGUGAGCAUCAAGAAACUCACGACGUGAGUGACCCUCCAGCCCCCUAUAAAUAAGAGGUGAAGCCCUUUUCAUUCCUCACACCUCCCAUAACUUCCCUCUCUCUCUCUCUCUAGAACUUCUCUCUAGCCCCGAAACCCCCCGAAAAGCCUAGGGAACCUCCCUAACACGAGGCGGAAGCCCUGGAAUGCCUAAAGGCUUUGAGAAGAAGAGCCUUUCAGCUCUGGAACGCUACUCUAGCGGUGCCCGGUUUUGAGAAAAACUCAUUGUAAGUGAGCUACGCCUAACCUAUCUUUAGUAUAGCUUAUGAUUCAAUAUAGUAAUGUUAUUAGGACCUUAUAAUAAAUACUUGGGCUAUUAUUAUGGGUUAUAUACGUAUUGUUUAAUGCUUAUAUAAUAGUAAUAAUAUCUAGACUAUUAAUUAGUCUCGGUAAAUAAUAGACUAAACUCUAGUGGUAAUGAUACUAGGUUUUGUCAAAGGAAAAUUGUGUUAAGAGUAACGAAGCGUUGUAUGAGUUCGGAAUCACCACCUUAACAAGUGAGUGCAUGGUCCCUUUCAUCUUACAUAUAGAUAUGAAUUAUUUUAUAUAAACUACGUGCUAUGUGUGCAUAUUAUCUGUAUACUUGCUAUCUAUGUUGGAUGAACGAUUUUAUACAAGUUUUAUAUGAUUUAAACUGUAUAUGUAUUUAUAUCUACAUAAUAUGUUGGGUAAAACAUGAGUAGAUGAAAUAUGAGUUGGAUGAUGAGUUGAGAGGUGAUAUAGACUAUGAGGUAAGGGUGAGAGGUGGACGAUGUGAGAAUCCUUGUUCCUAAAUGCUAGCCCCGUCGUCUAGCAGAGUAUGGAUGACAACCACGGACUAUUCUAGACAGUCCAGUGGAACACUAGCAGGCCCGCAACCUGUAGGUGUUGUGAACAAUGUGUUCACCGGUGUACUCUAAAAAACCCAUUGACAUGUAUUGCGAGUGGACUCCUGAAAAUGAUACUGUUAAUAAACGAGAUAACCUUGGCAGAUGCGCCUAAAGGGCUCUACCGGCAGAAGUGCCUAAUAGAGAACCUCAUAACCCGGGCAGAUGCGCCUAAAGGACAAUACCGAUAGAUGCGCCUCAUAGAGAAUGUCACAAUCCUGGCAGCUGCUCCUAAGUGAUAGAACUAGCAGAUGUACUUGACAGUUGUGUCAUAGGCAACGAUGGACUUCGUGUCUAUUCCUUAGGACAAUCCUUAGGAAUGAAUGAAUGAAGAAUAGCUGACUCUUAGGGUAGAUCCUUAAGAUUAAAGAAGAGAAUGGGGAUUGGUAAUUGGGUUAAUUGUUUGAUGAUUAGACAUAAUAAUUAUAUUAUUGUGGGUUGAAAACCCUAUGUACUCGACAAGUUUUCCAACCUGACCCACUCAGUUUAUUUAUAUCAUAGGUGUUGAUAUGAAGUCACAUUACACUUAGAGAUUAAGGAGAUAUAAAUCACUAGUGAUAAUGAAUGUAAGUUCUGUUUAUGCUUAUGUUUAUGUAUUGACGAUGACAUCCCAAAUGUUUUAAAAUGAAUAAAUAUACAUUUCUUCGAAAAUUCCCUGAUAACGUAUUUAUCAUGUUUUACUAGGAACAAAUUCCGCAUAUUUUUAUUAAAAGAGGUACUCAGAUUUUUAUAAAGCAUAAACAAAAACCGGUCUUUUCUGGCCGUGAAAAUGGGGAUAUCACAGCUGGUAUUAGAGCAUUAGUUUAAGCGAACUAGGAAUAUGGAUUUAUUUCUAGACUUAAACUUAGAAUGCUAAGCAAUGAUGGUGAGGAGUUUUUCUAAUAAAUUUUAGGAAAGUACAACUAAAUAGACACGAGCACUAGCUCAUUUAGGGAAGAUGCCUAAAUUGCUUUAUGUGCUAAAUGAUUGUGAUGUUUUAUGAUGUUAUCGUUUGAUCGGAUCUAUGGUCUGUUGCCGACCGGAUCUGGAAAUUUUAUGUGUUCAGAUUUCUAAACGUUAGAUUACGGUAUUAGAAAUGACAUGUAACUUUUCAGAUUAAUAAGGAGGAUUACACGUCUAAAUCUUCUUUAUCUAUAUUCUCGUCUCGAUGCACUGAAUGCAUGCUUCCGUGAAAAUAACAUCAUGGUGAAGACUCAUAGAGAAUUGAGUAAAUAAAGAAAAUGAAAAGUCUUAUGAUAUUGAAUGACACCUAUCAGAAGAUAUCGUAAGAGUGGUAUCUUGCCUUUAGAAUACGCCAGGCAGUAUGUUUAGAGGAGUACGGUACGUCCGAAGUACACCUUCUAUUGGCGGGAUGAUGGAACGAUUAGUGUAAUUCCCGAAGUUGUCCCAUCGUAUGGCAUUUCCACCACCAAUCGAGUUGAUGUAGAAUUGAUGAUUGAAGAUACGCAUGGAAGAAGUCCUAGUACAGUCUAGGGAAAAUUUUAUGAUUGUUUGGAUACAUUUAUAUGUGUUAAAAUUGUUUUUUUAUGAUAAUGACUUGGAAAACUACGAGACAAUACUUGGGACGAGUAUGAAUAGGUGUGAAUGGUAGUAGAGGCCUAUACUACCGGAAGCACAUGACUCACACUUGGAUCAGGGAAAGUCACAAGGUUACCAAGAAGCUAGUAAUUGAUUCUGUUUUAUUCAAGUAUGUCGUUACCAUCGUUUCGGUAAUGACUAAGAAGAUGAUUGUUAUUUCGACCCUAGUGGUCAUACCAAAUUGAGCCUGACUACGACGAGUAUGUUACGUGGUUCUGAGAACCAUGUUCAAUGUAGCACCUGACUUAAGCCAGAAGAAUUAAUCAAAGCGAUCAGUAGAGGUAUUGCGACGGUUGUUUGUAGCUAGAGAUGUUACCUUUUAAGAUGUGAUUAGAGCAUGAAGAAAUGUAUAGUCUGUUCUGGAAGACUCUAAGAGACCUGAGUCUAAGCGUGGGAACAUACGAUGAUAGGUCAUUAAAAUAUUACACACCGGUCCAUUGUGGUAAUAAAAUAACUUAUCAUAAGUUUGUUAAAAAGAAGAAGCAGUCUCCAGUAAGGAUCGAGAUUGUGACUUGAGGGUCAUCAUUUGGAGUCUAUCAUGAGAUAGGGAACAAGUGCAAGAUCGAGCACCGCCUGCAGUCAGGAAGUCUUAGAGUUAGAUACUCGUUCGAAGAAACAUCAAAGUUACGAUUAUUACUUAGGAUGAAGAGAUAAUGUAUGGAAUCAUUAUACAAGCCCUGUUUCGUUGAUGAUUCCGAGACGUAAUCAUCCUAAGGGGGAGAUAAUUGUAACGCCCGCAGAUCCGGACUAGUCAAUUUAGAGACAAUGAGCGUCAAAAAUGAUUUUUUUUAUGAAAUAUUAAUUAGAAGGAUUAAUAUUAACCAAAUUUUAGUAUAUGUUACAAGGGUUCCGUACAUAUAAAGAACGUCGGAAUCCGAGUUAUAACGAAGAAGUUAUGGCCCGUCGAAGUUUUACGACAAAAUCGACACGGCACUGGAGACGUAAAUAGUGAAUUUAUGAUAGAUGAUUUUUUAGCCUUAGUAAUCUAAACAAAACUUUUAGUAUACCUUAAACCGAGAGCGUCCAUAAAAAGAACGCCCAAAUAUGACUUCGUAUGAGGAAGUUAUGAUUUUUUCUAAGAUUUGGCAUAGCAGCGCAAGGCCCGAAACUUGAAUUUUAGUUCGAGCGGUUUUUGGCCUACGCGGCCUAAUUGAGAGUUGAAUAUAUCAUUAAUAGGAACUCAACGAUAAAAAGACAGACAAAAACAGAGUCCGUAUGAAGGAGUUACGAAUUCUUCGCGGUCAUUUAACAGUCUAAUAUCCUCCUACUGUUAAAUUCAAGAUUGGUCGAGAGUUAGCCGACGGAGUUUAAAUUAAAGUUGUAGAUCUUGUUUUUACAUAUGCGUGGAAAAAAAGAACGUUGAAAACGGAGCUCGUAUGCAAAAGUUAUGAAUUUUUGAAAAUCGGCUGAUUUCCACCCUGUGUGCGAUGCCACGUGUCAGCACCAGGUUGUGCCUGGUUGUCUCCAGCUGGCUCACGACGUGAGCAUCAAGAAACUCACGACGUGAGUGACCCUCCAGCCCCCUAUAAAUAAGAGGUGAAGCCCUCUUCAUUCCUCACACCUCCC
Molecule: long non-coding RNA, 4240 nt
Filed under: Lactuca sativa (garden lettuce)
Lineage: Eukaryota; Viridiplantae; Streptophyta; Magnoliopsida; Asterales; Asteraceae
Description: long non-coding RNA (LSAT_LNC008898)
Source: RNAcentral